This 374-nucleotide ribosomal RNA is filed under the name uncultured bacterium. RNAcentral's name for it is "bacterial SSU rRNA". It matches the Rfam family "Bacterial small subunit ribosomal RNA", at positions 143 to 507 of the family's 1533-position model. The record is from RNAcentral.
AUAACUACUGGGAAAACGGUAGACUAACUACCGCAUAACGUCGCAAGACCAAAGAGGGGGACCUUCGGGCCUCUUGCCAUCAGAUGUGCCCAGAUGGGAUUAGCUAGUAGGUGGGGUAACGGCUCACCUAGGCGACGAUCCCUAGCUGGUCUGAGAGGAUGACCAGCCACACUGGAACUGAGACACGGUCCAGACUCCUACGGGAGGCAGCAGGUGGGGAAUAUUGCACAAUGGGCGCAAGCCUGAUGCAGCCAUGCCGCGUGUAUGAAGAAGGCCUUCGGGUUGUAAAGUACUUUCAGCGGGGAGGAAGGGAGUAAAGUUAAUACCUUUGCUCAUUGACGUUACCCGCAGAAGAAGCACCGGCUAACUCCGUG